Nyctereutes procyonoides (raccoon dog) is the source of this 107-nucleotide small nuclear RNA. NCBI's taxonomy places the organism in Eukaryota, Metazoa, Chordata, Mammalia, Carnivora, Canidae. The record is from RefSeq and is a predicted model, not a curated record.
GUGCUCACUUCGGCAACACAUAUACUAAAAUUGGAAAGAUACAGAGAAGAUUAGCAUGGCCCCUGCACAAGGAUGGCAUGCAAAUUUGUGAAGUGUUCCAUAUUAAA